UGGCAGCAGCUCAGUCCCAUAGCAAAC
RNAcentral lists this non-coding RNA (27 nucleotides) under Rattus norvegicus (Norway rat). Lineage: Eukaryota; Metazoa; Chordata; Mammalia; Rodentia; Muridae. The record is from RNAcentral.